UUCCUGUACUUGGUGUUACUGCGAAGGGGGGACGGAGAAGGCUAUGUUGGCCGGGCGACGGUUGUCCCGGUUUAAGCGUGUAGGCUGGUUUUCCAGGCAAAUCCGGAAAAUCAAGGCUGAGGCGUGAUGACGAGGCACUACGGUGCUGAAGCAACAAAUGCCCUGCUUCCAGGAAAAGCCUCUAAGCAUCAGGUAACAUCAAAUCGUACCCCAAACCGACACAGGUGGUCAGGUAGAGAAUACCAAGGCGCUUGAGAGAACUCGGGUGAAGGAACUAGGCAAAAUGGUGCCGUAACUUCGGGAGAAGGCACGCUGAUAUGUAGGUGAAGUCCCUCGCGGAUGGAGCUGAAAUCAGUCGAAGAUACCAGCUGGCUGCAACUGUUUAUUAAAAACACAGCACUGUGCAAACACGAAAGUGGACGUAUACGGUGUGACGCCUGCCCGGUGCCGGAAGGUUAAUUGAUGGGGUUAGCGCAAGCGAAGCUCUUGAUCGAAGCCCCGGUAAACGGCGGCCGUAACUAUAACGGUCCUAAGGUAGCGAAAUUCCUUGUCGGGUAAGUUCCGACCUGCACGAAUGGCGUAAUGAUGGCCAGGCUGUCUCCACCCGAGACUCAGUGAAAUUGAACUCGCUGUGAAGAUGCAGUGUACCCGCGGCAAGACGGAAAGACCCCGUGAACCUUUACUAUAGCUUGACACUGAACAUUGAGCCUUGAUGUGUAGGAUAGGUGGGAGGCUUUGAAGUGUGGACGCCAGUCUGCAUGGAGCCGACCUUGAAAUACCACCCUUUAAUGUUUGAUGUUCUAACGUGGACCCGUAAUCCGGGUUGCGGACAGUGUCUGGUGGGUAGUUUGACUGGGGCGGUCUCCUCCUAAAGAGUAACGGAGGAGCACGAAGGUUGGCUAAUCCUGGUCGGACAUCAGGAGGUUAGUGCAAUGGCAUAAGCCAGCUUGACUGCGAGCGUGACGGCGCGAGCAGGUGCGAAAGCAGGUCAUAGUGAUCCGGUGGUUCUGAAUGGAAGGGCCAUCGCUCAACGGAUAAAAGGUACUCCGGGGAUAACAGGCUGAUACCGCCCAAGAGUUCAUAUCGACGGCGGUGUUUGGCACCUCGAUGUCGGCUCAUCACAUCCUGGGGCUGAAGUAGGUCCCAAGGGUAUGGCUGUUCGCCAUUUAAAGUGGUACGCGAGCUGGGUUUAGAACGUCGUGAGACAGUUCGGUCCCUAUCUGCCGUGGGCGCUGGAGAACUGAGGGGGGCUGCUCCUAGUACGAGAGGACCGGAGUGGACGCAUCACUGGUGUUCGGGUUGUCAUGCCAAUGGCACUGCCCGGUAGCUAAAUGCGGAAGAGAUAAGUGCUGAAAGCAUCUAAGCACGAAACUUGCCCCGAGAUGAGUUCUCCCUGACUCCUUGAGAGUCCUGAAGGAACGUUGAAGACGACGACGUUGAUAGGCCGGGUGUGUAAGCGCAGCGAUGCGUUGAGCUAACCGGUACUAAUGAACCGUGAGGCUUAACCUUAC
RNAcentral lists this ribosomal RNA (1511 nucleotides) under Escherichia coli P4-96. RNAcentral's name for it is "bacterial LSU rRNA". It matches the Rfam family "Bacterial large subunit ribosomal RNA", at positions 1436 to 2925 of the family's 2925-position model. The record is from RNAcentral. Lineage: Bacteria; Pseudomonadati; Pseudomonadota; Gammaproteobacteria; Enterobacterales; Enterobacteriaceae.